GAAAUAUUCUAUGAAUUGUAUCCUUAAUGUUUAAGGUAAACAUGGUAAAAAUUUCUUAGCUAGACUAAGAAAUUCAUUAAUAAUCCUAAAAACUAGAAAAAUUUACUCUCAUUUUAGUCUUCUGACAUAAGAAGGGUUGGUGAUAAACAACAGAUAAUGAAAUUGACUAAAAGAUGGUGUGAAUAACAAAAUGCUCCAUGAAAUGAAAAUUUGUUUAUCCUGGCUGUGACAAUAAAGAGGACAUUCAUGUCUGCAUAAUAGUGUCUCAAAGGAUGGACAGAUGUUAUUUACAGAGGUAGGUAAGCAAGGGAGCCAUGAAGAGCAGGCAUACAGAUGUUCACUCUUAACUGAGCCACAGAGGAAGACAAAGGGAGUUAGCCAUGCUUUGAAGAAGGCUUAUAAAUUCAGCUAUUCUUUGGAACAUAGAAGGUGAGGAAUUUUAAAUCACUGCCUCUUUCUGAGUGCACAGAACUCAAAAACUAUUCAGCACUGUCACUGGUGUCACCAGAACUAGGAAAACUCCAGAGGACAGCAAGGCCAGAGCAAGUAUCCAGAAUUUGACAUGUGUGUAGAAGAUACAUCAAAGGUCUCUGAAGAAUUGUUCUGGGAUUCUGAUGGACAGAAGAGAGGCUACCUUAAAUGUCCUCUCCUAAUAAUCAGAUUGAUGACUAAUUCAUGUGCCAUCGAAUAGCCUUCAUCCAGCAGCUGGUGGAAAUAGAAGAAGACACCCACAACUAAACCUUGAACUGAACUGAAAUCCAGUUGCAGAGAAGGAGGACUGAUGAGCAAAGGGGUCCACACCAGGCUGGUGAAACCCACAGAAACAGCUGACCUGAACAAGGGAGAGCUCUUGGUCCCCAGACUGAUAGCUGGGAAACCAGCAUCGGACUGAUCCAGACCCCCUGAAUGUGGGUGUCAGUGAGGAGACCUUGGACAUCUAUGGGACCUCUUAUAGUAGAUCAGUACUUAUUCCUAGCAUAGGAAUGGACUUUGGGAGCCCAUCCCACAUGGAGGGAUACUCCCUGAGCCUAGACAAAAGGGGGUUGGCCUAAUCCCUAUCCCUAAGAAUAAGACAGACUUUGAAGCUCCCCUAUGGAAGGCCUCACCCUCCCUUGGGAGCAGAAAGGGUAUUGGAUAGGUAGGGUGUUAGUUAUGGGGGGCAAUGAAGGAGGGGAGGGAAAUGGACCUGGGAUUGACAUGUACAAUAAUUUUCUUUUUAAUUAAAAUAAAAAAGCUUAAUAGAAAAUGGAAUAGACUCAGUUCACAUAAAAAAAAAGAAUG
This 1281-nucleotide long non-coding RNA is filed under the name Cricetulus griseus (Chinese hamster). RNAcentral describes it as "lncRNA (ENSCGRG00015034465.1)". Lineage: Eukaryota; Metazoa; Chordata; Mammalia; Rodentia; Cricetidae. The record is from RNAcentral.